This is a long non-coding RNA of Syngnathus typhle (broad-nosed pipefish), 1406 nucleotides long. RefSeq lists it as uncharacterized. NCBI's taxonomy places the organism in Eukaryota, Metazoa, Chordata, Actinopteri, Syngnathiformes, Syngnathidae. The transcript is spliced from 2 exons. The record is from RefSeq and is a predicted model, not a curated record.
ACUUCCUAAAACUGGGACACAAUAGUGCAAAAAGAAACAGUCUGCGCAUGCGCGUUUAGUGUCCACUAGGGGCAGUAUGAUGCGCUGGCAAACUACUAAGAAUCCCUUGGAUGCUUUGACGUUAGCCUUUAGCAUUCAUCUUGCGGACACCAAUCCACACUCUCAUCGAAUCGUCCGUCUUCCCGACGACUCGUCCUCACUCGGAAUCAAAGUGUGCCGCUGACUCCAGACAGCAGAUCUCCUUUCUCUUGGACUGGACGGAACGCGGCUGAGUGGGUGGCUGAGUGGCUGGCUGGCUGCCUGGCUGCCUGGCUGCCUGGCUGCCAGGCUGGCUGGCUGGCUGGCUGGCUGCCUGGCUGGCUUCCUGGUCCGCCGGCCUGCCUGGUCCGCCGGCCGGCCGGCCGGCCGGCCGGCCGGCCAGCAAGCUUCUGGAAACACUGAGGCACGCUGACGAUGUUUAUGUUACGCCGUCCCCGGAGAGAGGGGAAGCCUUGUGGUUCGGACGGAUUACGGGGAGGUUGGGGGGGGGGGGGCUUGCGGGGCUGCUUUCAACUUGGGUGUUAAUGGCGGGAGCAAAGUGGCCGCGUAGGUGCCAUAUGUGCUCGCUUUGCCGGGAGCUGGCACGCUUCCCCGCCUUGGCCAAAACCAGAGCAAAAAAUACAGCCUUAUAGUAUUGUAUUGAACCAACGGACAGACGCAGACGCAAGUGGACAUUUUGGCACUGGACAUAUGCGGCCCAUGUGCGGAUGUCAUUUCCCCUCCCGGGUCUAAUAAGGCAUACGUGAUGCGUCUUCCUCUUCUGGGCCCGAGCGCAAAUCAUUUGGAUGGAAAAGGCAGCCACGGCGGCCAACGGCGAACAACGCCGGCAGCCUCGGACGCCGCCGGAUGAAUUUCCCACAUGACGUGGAGUGAGCGAGCGAGCGCGCUGCUCGCGAGUCGGCGGAUGAGCAUAAAAGACGUCAGGGGAUUUAUUGGACUAACUCUGCGGCCGAUGACAAAUGGGAGUCCCGGCGCCAAUGACUCUCGCUAUAAAUCAACUUAUUGUUCUGGUGCGUGUGGGCGAGCGAGCGUGCCUGAGGCCAUCCGCUGGACGUUUGUAAGGACUUCCUUCCUGGCCAACACCUGAUGACUGACUCCAAUAAAAAGAAUCCGUGUGUUGGCUUUCCUCAGCCGACCGAAGGCCCGCCCGCCCGCCCGCCCGACGCACGCACACAAAGCGUUUUCUCUGGCGUACCUGCGCGAUACUUUUCUAAUAGCCAGCGCCGCCCGCCGUUUGUACGUAAGCCGAUAUGACGGCUAGCGACCGUGUCCAGAAAGAAAUACACGCGGCGCUUCAAGAAAUUGCACCUUUUCACUCCAAAGGUAAUAAAGUUUGACUUGUUUCAAUAAAAGGCGCGGCCAACGUA